Molecule: ribosomal RNA, 569 nt
Filed under: Escherichia coli
Lineage: Bacteria; Pseudomonadati; Pseudomonadota; Gammaproteobacteria; Enterobacterales; Enterobacteriaceae
Description: partial 23S ribosomal RNA
Rfam family: Bacterial large subunit ribosomal RNA
Source: RNAcentral
AGGGUGACAGCCCCGUACACAAAAAUGCACAUGCUGUGAGCUCGAUGAGUAGGGCGGGACACGUGGUAUCCUGUCUGAAUAUGGGGGGACCAUCCUCCAAGGCUAAAUACUCCUGACUGACCGAUAGUGAACCAGUACCGUGAGGGAAAGGCGAAAAGAACCCCGGCGAGGGGAGUGAAAAAGAACCUGAAACCGUGUACGUACAAGCAGUGGGAGCACGCUUAGGCGUGUGACUGCGUACCUUUUGUAUAAUGGGUCAGCGACUUAUAUUCUGUAGCAAGGUUAACCGAAUAGGGGAGCCGAAGGGAAACCGAGUCUUAACUGGGCGUUAAGUUGCAGGGUAUAGACCCGAAACCCGGUGAUCUAGCCAUGGGCAGGUUGAAGGUUGGGUAACACUAACUGGAGGACCGAACCGACUAAUGUUGAAAAAUUAGCGGAUGACUUGUGGCUGGGGGUGAAAGGCCAAUCAAACCGGGAGAUAGCUGGUUCUCCCCGAAAGCUAUUUAGGUAGCGCCUCGUGAAUUCAUCUCCGGGGGUAGAGCACUGUUUCGGCAAGGGGGUCAUCCCGA